AUAGUUUGAAGCUGCCAUGCAGAGCCUUAGCUAACACCAUCCUUCGUCUGAACAAAGCAACAAUGACAAACAAUUAACAUGUUAGGAAACAUUUAGUAAACAGCUAGCCGACAGUGAAAAACAAUUCAUGUGUGCAAUCAUCCUGGAAAUUAGAAUGACAGCUUGAAGAACCUAUGGACCAGCAAUCAACCAUCAAGUGAAAGCAUUUUCCUCGUGUAUGUGAUCAGACUUGAAACAACUACAAUCUACUGCAUUUGACACAUUUCUACUGAAUCCCUGGUGCUCUAUAUAUGUAUCAGAAACAUUUGACAGAUAUGGCAUGAUACAGUAUGAUCAUUAAUAUCAGAGAUUAAUUAAGAGAAGUAGCAGAUUGCUUACUGAACCCACAACAUUGGUUACAGAAAAUGUCCCUUCUAUAAACCUGAAAACAACUUGCUGUCACUACAAAUCUAAUCCAAAAUUUAGUAUACGCUGAGACUUAUCUGGACUUCUGUGGUACGCGACACUGAUAAAUAAUAGGCAGAUUUCUAGCUGCAAGCAAAACUAUGUUUUUGGGCAACAUUGAUGCAUGAAACAAAAGAUUAACCAUGUAUAUGAAAACUGACGUUAUCCAACUAUUUUAUGAGUGUCAAAAAAUCAUGGGGGUCUUGUAUUGGUGGUUCUUCCUGAACCAAUUGACAUACAACAAAGGUAGCACGAGCAACGUCCAAGUAAAUACAGAAGCUAGUAAGGUCAAACUCAUGAAAGUUAAUUUCUUCGUACAAUUAGUUCAAGAACCAAAGCUUGAAGAGACAUAAAUGAAGGGACUGAAGUCUUUCGUUUCAAAAAAGGGAAUGAAGUGUUACCAUCCUGCUACAUCUGAAUCUUGAGGACGCCACCAUCAGGGGCAUCGCCAAAGGCAGAUCGAGGCCCCGAGCUAGCCGCUACCAUCAGGGCACCGCCAGCUGCAGAUCGAGUCCCUACGCUAGCCGCCGCCGCGCUUCCGUGUCAUGGCCGCACCCUUCCCGCCCCUACGCGGCCGAGGCCUUCCAUCCGGCACUGCCGCCGCAUCUAGCAUCGCGCCGCCGCCGCUACUCAUGUCUCUGCAAUGGAAUCCGGAGGGGAAAGGGGAUGGAACAGCUCUGGAAUGGCAUGCGUGGAAGUUGAUUUUGCCGCCAUCAGUGGAAUUGCCCCCGCCAAAACGAAGAUGCCGCAGCAGAUCAAACCGACCCGUCGUUGGUUGGGAGUACCCCGUACAACGGCCCUCGCCUUGUGGAUUUUUGGUUUGGGAGCACGAGCCCCGUCCGUCACCUAGCCAGGCGACGGCAACUCUCUCUGUCUUCAUUUACUUUGGUACACGUAAGCUAAACGUGGUCGUAAACAUGCGAGGCAUUUAAUGGCGUUGUACGUGCCCUGAGUACAACGUAGGCCUUUCUUUUAACACUUUUUAACAAUUUCCUAUCCAAACACUUACGUUAAAAGUAAGGUGUUAAAGUUUAACACCCCAUUUUUCAUAAACACAUGGAGAGGAUGUUAAAAC
This 1519-nucleotide long non-coding RNA is filed under the name Setaria italica (foxtail millet). Its description in RNAcentral is "long non-coding RNA (SITA_LNC000300)". The record is from RNAcentral. Lineage: Eukaryota; Viridiplantae; Streptophyta; Magnoliopsida; Poales; Poaceae.